RNAcentral lists this ribosomal RNA (428 nucleotides) under uncultured Serratia sp. RNAcentral's name for it is "bacterial SSU rRNA". It matches the Rfam family "Bacterial small subunit ribosomal RNA", at positions 1 to 445 of the family's 1533-position model. Lineage: Bacteria; Pseudomonadati; Pseudomonadota; Gammaproteobacteria; Enterobacterales; Yersiniaceae. The record is from RNAcentral.
CGCCCUUAGAGUUUGAUCAUGGCUCAGAUUGAACGCUGGCGGCAGGCUUAACACAUGCAAGUCGAGCGGUAGGAGAGCUUGCUCUCUACGAGCGGCGGACGGGUGAGUAAUGUCUGGGAAACUGCCUGAUGGAGGGGGAUAACUACUGGAAACGGUAGCUAAUACCGCAUAACGUCGCAAGACCAAAGAGGUUCGUCUUGCCAUCAGAUGUGCCCAGAUGGGAUUAGCUAGUAGGUGGGGUAACGGCUCACCUAGGCGACGAUCCCUAGCUGGUCUGAGAGGAUGACCAGCCACACUGGAACUGAGACACGGUCCAGACUCCUACGGGAGGCAGCAGUGGGGAAUAUUGCACAAUGGGCGCAAGCCUGAUGCAGCCAUGCCGCGUGUAUGAAGAAGGCCUUCGGGUUGUAAAGUACUUUCGGCGAGGA